GGAAGAUGAACCGAAUUCUAUAGGAACAAUGUAGCUUCCUCCACGAUGCUAAUUUUCAACUUUGGCGAGCUCUGCACUACAUUGGAUACGGAAAACUGUGUGUCUGCUCGUAAGCAAAGGUAUCCGAAAUGGUCUUAUCGCACGAUAACCAGUAGCGAUGAGUCGAUCUCGAACAGUUCUUGUUAAAAGGCUCCUGUAUACCCACCACUCUAUUUUUAUGAUUGUAUUGUAUGCAAUGGGUUUCCUUCUGACCAACCUUCAUUAUGCCUAACUUUCCCUAGCAAAUG
This 287-nucleotide long non-coding RNA is filed under the name Mytilus galloprovincialis (Mediterranean mussel). The record is from RNAcentral. Lineage: Eukaryota; Metazoa; Mollusca; Bivalvia; Mytilida; Mytilidae.